GGGGAUGUCAUGGUUUCGACAGGUCGAUGUUUGAUUCAAAGGGCAGUGGUGUGGCUACCUUAAAAGCCAACAAAAAAUAUCUGGAAACAGACUUUCUUUCGCUGCUUAAUUAGCUAAAUACUGCUAUCAGCGUGCACCUUAUAGGUUGGUCUUUGGCUUAUAAACGUGUAUCACAAACAAAGAAUAAGGUUCAUAAGGCGACUCACCGCGUGUUCCCGACAAUCCCAUUGAGUCAAUCAUCUCUUGCUUGUCAUGUCCUUAAGAGGUGAUUAAUAGCGAUAUGACUAAACUGUAGAACUUUGAAUG
RNAcentral lists this transfer-messenger RNA (306 nucleotides) under Erysipelotrichia bacterium. It matches the Rfam family "transfer-messenger RNA", at positions 1 to 330 of the family's 374-position model. From Rfam's summary of the family: Bacterial tmRNA, also known as 10Sa RNA or SsrA, is named for its dual tRNA and mRNA-like properties. Its role is to liberate the mRNA from a stalled ribosome. Lineage: Bacteria; Bacillati; Bacillota; Erysipelotrichia. The record is from Rfam by way of RNAcentral.